Long non-coding RNA from Cololabis saira (Pacific saury), 328 nucleotides. RefSeq lists it as uncharacterized. The record is from RefSeq and is a predicted model, not a curated record. The transcript has 3 exons. Lineage: Eukaryota; Metazoa; Chordata; Actinopteri; Beloniformes; Belonidae.
ACAGGGUGGAAAUUUCCCCUCAACAAGUUCGGACACUUCACAAAAAACACCAAAGCGACGGGACAACGACACAUGUGUCUACGAACUGUUGUGGUUGCGCGAAAAAGGGGACCAGAAUAGUCUGGAUCAUGACCUGCAUCCCCUUUGACCAUAUUAGGAGGUUCCACGGAUCCACUUCAUGAGACCCAAACAGAACCAGGUGUCCGGCUGCAGCUCUACUGUUCAUUGUUCCAGAGCAUUCCUGAGGGACCGGCCAGCGCUGCAGGGUCUGUGUGCCUUGCAUUUGUUGGUGAUGAUUAAUAAUUUACCACAGGCUCCAUCAACCAGU